GGAACACAUGAGUGAGAAGGAUUAGGAUUUAGGAUGAUAAAAUCUCUGGAGCUCCACUAGCCAAAUGAAAUUGGUGGGAUUAAACGCCUCUGAAUUGUGAAGCUUGCAGUUGUUGUCCAGUGGUUGUGGAAGAGGAGAUGGUGUUCUUAAGUUGGGGUCGUCCAUCUUCAGAGCAGCAGCAACAAGUUCUCAACAAAACAGGAACCUUCAAUUAUGACAACAAGUACAGAGGAGCUUCGUCUAAAUCUAUAGCUAAACUUAAGGAAGACUCAGAGAUUGAUAAAGAUGGAUUCUUGAUCAAUCAUGCUCGUGUUUUAGUCGGUUCUGGUAAAGAGAGUUAUGAGAAGGGGAAAAAAGCUCUCCAGACUUGGAAGCAUUUUGGUAUGGGUUGGACAUUUGUUGAUCCUGCAACUCCAGUUGAAACCGGUAAGAAGUUUUGCAUCUGUGUGAAAGAAGUACUUCCAUGGGUGAUGCUUCCUCUUCAAGUUGUUUAUGUCGAUGAAAGCCGGAAAUCAAGAAAAGGCCCUGCGCAUUUCGGUUACGGGAGCGGCACUCUUCAGGGACAUUUACUGGCUGGAGAAGAACGGUUUUCAAUAGAGCUUGACGGUAAUGGUCAAGUUUGGUAUGAGAUAACGUCCUUCUCUAAGCCAGCUCAUUUCUUGUCGUUCCUUGGAUAUCCUUAUGUGAAGCUAAGGCAGAAGCACUUUGCUCGUCAUUCUUCUGAAGCAGUGCUCAAACAUCUCAAUGCUUCGUGAUGAUGAUAUGUCAAGUUGUAUUUUACGAUAAAAGUUGUUGCAUAUACGCUUUGUCUAUACCGUAAAAUGAAAGCUUAAAGGUGACGCAGAACUCAUACGUCACAACAUUCCCAACGUCGUUGUGUCACUGAGUAAGGAACGCGACCAGCAUUGACAUUAUCAUCCAAGGACGUUCUCAUCAAGGAGAGGAGACAAUCGACAAUGCAAAAUGGUUUUACCUUUUAGCUGCAAACCAUUUUGCAGCUUGAAGAGAGUUUAAGGUCUCUCUGUAUUUUUACUUAAGGGAGAAUAGUCGGAUGGCGAUCAAGGCGAUCCAUGACGAUUGAAAGAAAAUUCAUAUACAAUUUGUCUGAUUUGAUGUGGUUUAAUUAAAUGAUUUGCUACUCUUCAAUUAUACUGAGUCUUACAACUUCGGUUUA
Non-coding RNA from Camelina sativa (false flax), 1174 nucleotides. Lineage: Eukaryota; Viridiplantae; Streptophyta; Magnoliopsida; Brassicales; Brassicaceae. The record is from RefSeq and is a predicted model, not a curated record.